AACGCUAGCUACAGGCUUAACACAUGCAAGUCGAGGGGAAACGACAUUGAAAGCUUGCUUUUGAUGGGCGUCGACCGGCGCACGGGUGAGUAACGCGUAUCCAACCUGCCCACCACUUGGGGAUAACCUUGCGAAAGUAAGACUAAUACCCAAUGACGUCUCUAGAAGGCAUCUGAAGGAGAUUAAAGAUUUAUCGGUGAUGGAUGGGGAUGCGUCUGAUUAGCUUGUUGGCGGGGUAACGGCCCACCAAGGCGACGAUCAGUAGGGGUUCUGAGAGGAAGGUCCCCCACAUUGGAACUGAGACACGGUCCAAACUCCUACGGGAGGCAGCAGUGAGGAAUAUUGGUCAAUGGGCGAGAGCCUGAACCAGCCAAGUAGCGUGCAGGAUGACGGCCCUAUGGGUUGUAAACUGCUUUUAUAAGGGAAUAAAGUGAGUCUCGUGAGACUUUUUGCAUGUACCUUAUGAAUAAGGACCGGCUAAUUCCGUGCCAGCAGCCGCGGUAAUACGGAAGGUUCGGGCGUUAUCCGGAUUUAUUGGGUUUAAAGGGAGCGUAGGCCGGAGAUUAAGCGUGUUGUGAAAUGUAGACGCUCAACGUCUGCACUGCAGCGCGAACUGGUUUCCUUGAGUACGCACAAAGUGGGCGGAAUUCGUGGUGUAGCGGUGAAAUGCUUAGAUAUCACGAAGAACUCCGAUUG
Molecule: ribosomal RNA, 696 nt
Filed under: uncultured bacterium
Lineage: Bacteria
Description: bacterial SSU rRNA
Rfam family: Bacterial small subunit ribosomal RNA
Source: RNAcentral